Molecule: non-coding RNA, 832 nt
Organism: Manis javanica (Malayan pangolin)
Lineage: Eukaryota; Metazoa; Chordata; Mammalia; Pholidota; Manidae
Source: RefSeq, a predicted model, not a curated record
CUCUCCCCCUGGCUAAUUUCAUGAGCAGGAGCCAGUGUGGAGCUGCGGACGGGGCUCAGCAGCUUUCUCUUCUGAGCAGCCCCUCGGUCCGGCUCAGUUCUGUGCCAGUUCACGUGGGCUUUGCAUGGCUUCACUGAGGCAGGAAGUGCUUUGAUUCCCACUGUGGACCUUCUAGGACAUGGGGCUGCCGCUCCACCCCACAGCCUUGGCCCAUUGAGGUGGCUGUUUUAUUAUUUUUCUGAUUAUUAAAAUAUAGCACUCUUCAAUCCCUCACGCUAUGCUGGCAAGAUCAUAAAAGAAAAAGCCACAGGCCCUGCCCUGCAGGAGCCCUCGUGCGUGUGUUUAGGCCUCAGCUUGGUCCUCUCCUUCCAGGGUGGGGCCCGAUGGAGGCUGUGUCCAGGGUAGGGCUCGGUUCUCCCGCGUCCUGAGCAGGAGCCAGACCACAGGGAGGGGCAGUGCUCUUGCUUCUGCCCAGCAGAGGGCACCUCUGAUGACUUCCCUUCACUGGAAACCUGUGGGAAGAAGCCUUGGGGAGGAGGAAAGGAGAGUCAGAUAAGGGACUAAGAGAGCAUGGAGGGAGACCAGGGCCUGGCUCAAGCACGAGGAAGUGAUUCACCCAGAGAAGAUCAAGAGCUGACUGCAGGGCUCAGUGGUCUCUGAGAGGGACUAUGAGAGCCUCGUCAUGAUGCGAAUGCGCCAGGCAGCUGAGCGGCAACAGCUGAUCACCCAAAUACAGCAGGAAGACGAGGGGCAGCCCACGUAGCCCCCUGCCUCUGGCCUGCCCUCCCACAGCCCGUUCUCAAACAUCACUAAUAAACAUUUUUUUAAAGAG